AUGCGGCCCCUGCUCUGAGCGCUGGCCGGGCUGGCCCAGCUCUGCGCCGCAGGCGCUUUGGCCGCUGCAGAACCCUUCACCACUCCCCGAGGAGACUCAGCUCAGAGCACAGCGUGUGACAGACACGUGGCUAUGCAAUGCCGUCUAGAUGUCAUAGGGGAGAUGGUAGAGAAGACCGUGGAUCACCUGGGGACACAGGUGAAAGGCCUGCUGGGCCUGCUAGAGGAGCUGGCCUGGAACCUGACGGGGGGACCCUUCAGCACCGUCCCCGGCCUCCUCGGAAAAGAUGGCUUCUGAGCCCCGGAGCUGGAGCCCAGCAGCUGGAGGUGGUGCACCUGCCAGGCAGCACCCUCUGAGAGCCAGCGCUGUCCUCUCGCCUUCCUUCCUCAUCUUCGUGUGAAAUAAAAGCUACUGUUUUUGGUCUCCUCUGUGUCUGCUGACAGAGUAACCCGUUUACAGCCCCCUCUCCCUCCACUUCCAUGCCUGGUGGAGGCCGGCAACCCCCUCCAGGCUCA
This is an RNA transcript of Symphalangus syndactylus (siamang), 515 nucleotides long. It is a transcript of the gene named placenta-specific protein 9-like, with no coding region annotated. The record is from RefSeq and is a predicted model, not a curated record. Lineage: Eukaryota; Metazoa; Chordata; Mammalia; Primates; Hylobatidae.